CGGUCGAGGCUGCACCACUCCAUAACCAUCUCGUUUAGGGCAAGCGCCCGACGGCGGCGUCCGACAGCGACUCUCUCACCUUCUACGACGUCUCGUUCCCCCUGGGCCCACCACGCCACCCACCUCGGUCAGCACUAUCCAUUCCCGUCUCUUUUUUGCCGUCUGGCCGGGUGAUUGUUUUCGGAGAUCGUCCAUUUUUCAACCGCUUUGUCACCCAGCAGUUGUCCUGGAAGGUCGCACCUUGCCUUCAACCUUCACUCAAGCCUCGUUUACUUUUUAGACACUGCUGACAAGAAUGAUCCGUGUGCAUCUCUGCCCCUGCAAAACCCAGUCUUAGGCAGAGGUCUGAAAAUGAAUGGGUGUGAAUCUUUGCCAACUCCCAGCACCCAAAUGAGCACGAACUAAUUCUGUGGAUGAAACAACCUUCGUUACCAUUUUGGUAAAAGUCACAGAAGGUUAAUGUUUCAACUCAGAUGACGCAAGUCACAGCGGCGCAGGAUCAUCCGCAGGCCUCAGUGGAGCCGAAAAGCCUAGAGAUUCAUCGUGAAAUCCAGAUACUGCGGGCCGAGUUUACAGAGGAGAAUCCACUUGCACUUUUCCAGCCCGAUAUUGUUCGCAUCGCGCGGGGUGACACCACUUUGCCAAACAGUGGCACAGUUGCCCCCUGACCUCCGUGCAGCCUCCUUCCCUGUUCUAGGGGACAGUGAGGGGUCAAGAGUUACUUUUUCUGAACAGGGGAUGUACAUAAUUCUCCCAAACUCGGCAUUCGUGAAUAGAAUUCGACUGUUGCAUUCUCAACACUCCGAUAGUGCAGUUAUCAGAAGUGUCAAAGACCGACUUUUUAACGGGUGGAAGAAAACAUUUUUAUCUGGGCCCGUUUGGGGAAGAUUCCUUAAAUUUCAGAAAGGAAUCGAUGUCACAGUUUGAAAAUGAGAAGUAAGGCUGUAGAGAAUAAUGUUACCAGAUUUACUGUUUCAAUGAGGAAGCCGAGAAUCGAAUAAAGCAUAAUAUGAAAUGAAAACCUGUUUUCAUAACAAUUUUUAAAUGGUCCAACCUGUUUUCAUAACAAUUUUUAAAUGUUCCAAACAGUCGUUGCUCUUACGACGGGGGAAAGCAAUUUGCCAUUAGUACGUGAAAACUUACACAAUGGCCCCAUUGAAUAAAUUUUCAAAACAGUAUACAUCACCCGACCCUGUCCUUGCCAUGUAGUCCACCGCU
Long non-coding RNA from Acanthaster planci (crown-of-thorns starfish), 1218 nucleotides. RefSeq lists it as uncharacterized. NCBI's taxonomy places the organism in Eukaryota, Metazoa, Echinodermata, Asteroidea, Valvatida, Acanthasteridae. The record is from RefSeq and is a predicted model, not a curated record.